Molecule: ribosomal RNA, 497 nt
Filed under: uncultured bacterium
Lineage: Bacteria
Description: partial 16S ribosomal RNA
Rfam family: Bacterial small subunit ribosomal RNA
Source: RNAcentral
GAUGAACGCUGGCGGCGUGCCUAACACAUGCAAGUCGAACGGUGAAGCGCCUUCCUUUUUGGUGGGCGUGGAUGAGUGGCGAACGGGUGAGUAACACGAUAGUAACCUGCUCUCUCCUUCUGGAUAACCGCAUGAAAGUGUGGCUAAUACGGGAUAUUCUGGGCCUGUCGCAUGAUGGGUCUGGGAAAGAUUUUGUUUCGGUGGGGGAUGGGCUCGCGGCGUAUCAGCUUGUUGGUGGGGUCAUGGCAUACCAAGGCGGCGAUGAGGAGCCGGCCUGAGAGGAUGGUGGACGAUCACAGUGGUGCUGCGACGCGGCGACGACUACGGGAGGCGGCAGCAGGGGAUAUUAGUGCACGGGGGGAAGAAGGCUGCUGCAGCGACGCGGCGGGGAGGAUGGAGGCCGGGUUGUAGAGAACCUCUGUCGCGAGAGAAGAGGGGCUGCCUCGUAUGUGGGUGGGUUGACGGUAGCUGAAUAAGAAGCGCCGGCUAACUACGUG